Molecule: ribosomal RNA, 707 nt
Filed under: uncultured bacterium
Lineage: Bacteria
Description: bacterial SSU rRNA
Rfam family: Bacterial small subunit ribosomal RNA
Source: RNAcentral
UCGAACGCGAAAGUCCCCUUCGGGGGGCAAGUAGAGUGGCGCACGGGUGAGUAACACGUAGGUAAUCUACCUUUGGAUGGGGAAUAACAACCGGAAACGGUUGCUAAUACCGCAUAAUGCAGCGGCACCUAAUGGUGACAGUUGUUAAAGCGGGGGAUCGAAAGACCUCGCGUCUAAAGAGGAGCCUGCGGCGGAUUAGCUAGUUGGUAAGGUAAUGGCUUACCAAGGCCACGAUCCGUAACCGGCCUGAGAGGGCGGUCGGUCACACUGACACUGACAUACGGGUCAGACUCCUACGGGAGGCAGCAGUCGGGAAUUUUGGGCAAUGGGCGAAAGCCUGACCCAGCAACGCCGCGUGAAGGAUGAAAUCCCUCGGGAUGUAAACUUCGCAAGAACGGGAAGAAUAAGUAGGGGACAAUACCCCCUAUGAUGACGGUACCGUUUGUAAGCUCCGGCUAACUCCGUGCCAGCAGCCGCGGUAAUACGGGGGGAGCAAGCGUUGUUCGGAUUUACUGGGCGUAAAGGGCGCGUAGGCGGUCAGCACAAGUCAGUUGUGAAAUCUCCGAGCUUAACUCGGAAAGGUCAACUGAAACUGUGCGACUAGAGUGCAGAAGGGGCAACUGGAAUUCUUGGUGUAGCGGUGAAAUGCGUAGAUAUCAAGAGGAACACCUGCGGCGAAGGCGGGUUGCUGGGCUGACACUGACGCU